Molecule: unclassified non-coding RNA, 285 nt
Filed under: Hevea brasiliensis (rubber tree)
Lineage: Eukaryota; Viridiplantae; Streptophyta; Magnoliopsida; Malpighiales; Euphorbiaceae
Source: RNAcentral
AAAAAAAAAAAAAAAAAUUCCCAUCCACAGAGGGGAACUAAAACUCCAUUACUGGAGACUGAGAAGAAAACUAAGAAAUUAAAGAGACCAACUAAAAGAACUACUAAAAAACAUAACUAAAGAAGGAGGUGCGGGCGUUGACAACCAGGCGGCCUGACCUUCCCUAGAAUAAACACUAAAACAAAAAUUUUUUAAAAAAAGGGGAGAGUGUUUAGAUUUAGAUAGAGAUUGUGGACUUAGUUUCUGAGCGCUCGACUUGCUUUGUCUGAUCCUUUUCUUCAUUAU